This 221-nucleotide ribosomal RNA is filed under the name uncultured bacterium. RNAcentral describes it as "partial 16S ribosomal RNA". It matches the Rfam family "Bacterial small subunit ribosomal RNA", at positions 524 to 745 of the family's 1533-position model. The record is from RNAcentral.
UACGUAGGGUGCAAGCGUUAAUCGGAAUUACUGGGCGUAAAGCGUGCGCAGGCGGUUUUGUAAGCCAGAUGUGAAAGCCCCGGGCUCAACCUGGGAGCUGCGUUUGGAACUGUCAGACUAGAGUGCGUCAGAGGGGGGUGGAAUUCCGCGUGUAGCAGUGAAAUGCGUAGAGAUGCGGAGGAACACCGAUGGCGAAGGCAGCCCCUGGGAUGACACUGAGG